Molecule: non-coding RNA, 205 nt
Organism: Pelobates cultripes (western spadefoot toad)
Lineage: Eukaryota; Metazoa; Chordata; Amphibia; Anura; Pelobatidae
Source: the annotation of a GenBank genome assembly
AUCUAGUCUGCCCAAUUUUCUAAAUACUUUCAUUAGUCCCUAGCCUUAUCUUAUAGUUAGGAUAGCCUUAUGCCUAUCCCACACAUGCUUAAACUCCUUUACUGUGUUAACCUCUACCACUUCAGCUGGAAGGCUAUUUCAUGCAUCCACUACCCUCUCAGUAAAGUAAUACUUCCUGAUAUUAUUUUUAAACCUUUGUCCCUCU